RNAcentral lists this ribosomal RNA (729 nucleotides) under Salmonella enterica. RNAcentral describes it as "partial 23S ribosomal RNA". It matches the Rfam family "Bacterial large subunit ribosomal RNA", at positions 2202 to 2925 of the family's 2925-position model. RNAcentral also lists the same sequence under 4 other names. Lineage: Bacteria; Pseudomonadati; Pseudomonadota; Gammaproteobacteria; Enterobacterales; Enterobacteriaceae. The record is from RNAcentral.
ACCCUUUAAUGUUUGAUGUUCUAACGUGGACCCGUGAUCCGGGUUGCGGACAGUGUCUGGUGGGUAGUUUGACUGGGGCGGUCUCCUCCUAAAGAGUAACGGAGGAGCACGAAGGUUGGCUAAUCCUGGUCGGACAUCAGGAGGUUAGUGCAAUGGCAUAAGCCAGCUUGACUGCGAGCGUGACGGCGCGAGCAGGUGCGAAAGCAGGUCAUAGUGAUCCGGUGGUUCUGAAUGGAAGGGCCAUCGCUCAACGGAUAAAAGGUACUCCGGGGAUAACAGGCUGAUACCGCCCAAGAGUUCAUAUCGACGGCGGUGUUUGGCACCUCGAUGUCGGCUCAUCACAUCCUGGGGCUGAAGUAGGUCCCAAGGGUAUGGCUGUUCGCCAUUUAAAGUGGUACGCGAGCUGGGUUUAGAACGUCGUGAGACAGUUCGGUCCCUAUCUGCCGUGGGCGCUGGAGAACUGAGGGGGGCUGCUCCUAGUACGAGAGGACCGGAGUGGACGCAUCACUGGUGUUCGGGUUGUCAUGCCAAUGGCACUGCCCGGUAGCUAAAUGCGGAAGAGAUAAGUGCUGAAAGCAUCUAAGCACGAAACUUGCCCCGAGAUGAGUUCUCCCUGAGACUUAAAGUCUCCUGAAGGAACGUUGAAGACGACGACGUUGAUAGGCCGGGUGUGUAAGCGCAGCGAUGCGUUGAGCUAACCGGUACUAAUGAACCGUGAGGCUUAACCUU